AUUUAUAUUUCUAGUUACGUGGAACGAGGCGGGUACAACGGUCCCUUCCUGGACCACCCGGCCCCCGUCUACGGUGUACCGACCUACUACAAAGAACCGGAGCCGAUAAUCGAGAUCAUCAUCAAAGAAUCGAACGAAUCCCUACCAGCCCCACCCACACCUCCCACCCCACCACCAACCCCACCCACUAAGGAGCCCGUCCAGGUCUUCUACGUCAAGUACAAGAAGAACCCCAACAGCCACGGCAAAGAGGAUGACGUCAUCUACGAUCCGCCUAUCCCAGCCCUAAGUCCCCACACCCACGACAUCGUCGAACCUUCCCACCAGCCAGCGCCCCCGGUCCCAACCUACGGCGCGCCCCCCGCGACGGUAGCCCCGCCCCCUAGCACCACCAUCAAAGCCAUCAUCAGGCCAGAUUCGGAGACGUAUCACGGGACCUCCGGGUUGCGGAUUUCCUUUGGGAAACCUGACGAGAGCGGCCACGACUUCGCAUCGUACCACCGGGCAGCCAUCGCCGAUGGCCCGAUUGAAGCCCAGAAGCGUGACUCCAUCAGCGAGCAGAGCGAGCCUCACUUCAGCCAAGUAUCCAGUUCGAGCCCCGUGGAGUUGACUGAAAAACCGAGCUUGGCCAUAGUCACGCCUCACGCUCACAAACGGCAGCAAACCGAGUUUCAGCCUCAACCCACCCCGGAGGUCAAGUUCACGCGGCAGGAGCCUUUCAUCCCCUCGCAACCCCACAUUGAGACCUACCAAACACCGCCACCGGUCACCUUCCAGCAGUCACAACCCCAGCAAAGGGUUGUUUUCCCGGGGCAACAACCACCCUUCAGGCCCCAGCAUACGAAUAACGUCUUCAACAACAGGCAGAACCAGCCUCAGCAACAGACUCAAAGAAACCCACCUCCGUUCUUAGGGCCGUUCAACCCCAAUCAACGCCAGCAAACCCCGUUCAUUCCCCCACCCAAUCAACAGAGACCGAACAGCCCUCAACCGACCGGCCAGAACCAGGUGCACCGACCCUUUGUGCCUCCCCAACAAAAUCAGCCCCACAGUUCCCGGUGCCGCAUGCUUCGAACUAUCAUCCCCAGGUGCAACCACAGGGUAAUUUCCAGUUCGGACCGCGCCCGAAUUUCAACCCCAACCAGCAGUUCGUCCAACCGAACCCCAACCGUCGAAUAUCUCCCCCAGCAUUUGAACCACCAACCAAACUUCAACCAACAAUUCACCCCCCGCAGCGGCAACCUGGGUUCACUCCUCACCACCAGUUCAACACCCAGCCCCAGAAUCAACAGUUCAACCAGCAGAACCAACGGAUCCAACAGCGUCCGAACCCGCAGCAGUUCCAACCCUCGUUGCCUCGCCUCAGUUCAACCCCCCAAACCAGCACCCCCAACAGAACUUCGGGCCCCCACAACAGCAGCCGUCAAAUAA
Molecule: long non-coding RNA, 1431 nt
Filed under: Bemisia tabaci
Lineage: Eukaryota; Metazoa; Arthropoda; Insecta; Hemiptera; Aleyrodidae
Description: lncRNA ENSSSA1NGG011324
Source: RNAcentral